CCCUUAGAUGUUCUGGGCUGCACGCGCGCUACACUGAAGCGUUCAACGAGUAUUCACCUUGCCCGGGAGGGUUGGGUAAUCUUUUGAAAACGCUUCGUGAUGGGGAUAGAUUAUUGCAAUUAUUAAUCUUCAACGAGGAAUUCCUAGUAAGCACGGGUCAUAAGCUCGUACUGAUUACGUCCCUGCCCUUUGUACACACCGCCCGUCGCUACUACCGACUGGUAAGAUAUCUAAGGAGCAUGGACGUCGGCAGACGCGGUUCGCGCCGUGUCUGCGGGCAGAAGCGCCCCGCAGAUUUCUUGCUGGAGGAAGUAAAAGUCGUAACA
Molecule: ribosomal RNA, 326 nt
Filed under: uncultured eukaryote
Lineage: Eukaryota
Description: partial 18S ribosomal RNA
Rfam family: Eukaryotic small subunit ribosomal RNA
Source: RNAcentral